This 441-nucleotide ribosomal RNA is filed under the name uncultured bacterium. Its description in RNAcentral is "partial 16S ribosomal RNA". It matches the Rfam family "Bacterial small subunit ribosomal RNA", at positions 339 to 795 of the family's 1533-position model. The record is from RNAcentral.
CUACGGGCGGCACCAGUGGGGAAUAUUGGGCAAUGGGCGAAAGCCUGACCCAGCAACGCCGCGUGAUUGAAGAAGGCUUUCGGGUUGUAAAAAUCUGUCCUUGGGGACGAAGAAGUGACGGUACCCAAGGAGGAAGCCCCGGCUAACUACGUGCCAGCAGCCGCGGUAAUACGUAGGGGGCGAGCGUUGUCCGGAAUUACUGGGCGUAAAGGGUGCGCAGGCGGCGCUUUAAGUCAGAUGUGAAAUACCCAGGCUUAACCUGGGGGGUGCAUUUGAAACUGGAGCGCUUGAGUGCAGGAGAGGAAAGUGGAAUUCCUAGUGUAGCGGUGAAAUGCGUAGAUAUUAGGAGGAACACCAGUGGCGAAGGCGACUUUCUGGACUGUAACUGACGCUGAGGCACGAAAGCGUGGGGAGCAAACAGGAUUAGAUACCCGUGUAGUC